RNAcentral lists this ribosomal RNA (254 nucleotides) under uncultured bacterium. RNAcentral's name for it is "partial 16S ribosomal RNA". It matches the Rfam family "Bacterial small subunit ribosomal RNA", at positions 524 to 776 of the family's 1533-position model. The record is from RNAcentral.
UACGGGGGGGGGCAAGCGUUGUUCGGAAUUACUGGGCGUAAAGGGCUCGUAGGCGGCCAACUAAGUCGGAUGUGAAAUCCCCAGGCUUAACCUGGGAACUGCAUCCGAUACUGGAUGGCUUGAAUCCGGGAGAGGGAUGCGGAAUUCCAGGUGUAGCGGUGAAAUGCGUAGAUAUCGGAAGGAACACCGGUGGCGAAAGCGGCGCGCUGGACCUCUUCUGACGCUGAGGCACGAAAGCGUGGGGAGCAAACAGG